RNAcentral lists this ribosomal RNA (252 nucleotides) under uncultured bacterium. Its description in RNAcentral is "partial 16S ribosomal RNA". It matches the Rfam family "Bacterial small subunit ribosomal RNA", at positions 100 to 354 of the family's 1533-position model. The record is from RNAcentral.
CGGGGUGAGUAACGCGUGGGUAACCUGCCUCAUACAGGGGGAUAACAGUUAGAAAUGACUGCUAAUACCGCAUAAGCGCACGGGGAUGCAUAUCUUUGUGUGAAAAACUCCGGUGGUAUGAGAUGGACCCGCGUCUGAUUAGCUAGUUGGUGAGGUAACGGCUCACCAAGGCGACGAUCAGUAGCCGACCUGAGAGGGUGACCGGCCACAUUGGGACUGAGACACGGCCCAAACUCCUACGGGAGGCAGCAG